This 1759-nucleotide long non-coding RNA is filed under the name Sorghum bicolor (sorghum). RNAcentral describes it as "long non-coding RNA (SBIC_LNC000667)". Lineage: Eukaryota; Viridiplantae; Streptophyta; Magnoliopsida; Poales; Poaceae. The record is from RNAcentral.
CCAACUUUACCUGCUCCGCCGGGAUCGCCGACGCGGCCGCCGCUCGCCGCCGGCACGUUGGCUCUGACCGGAGCCACCAGGGUAAAGUUGCUUCUCCUCCUCAUAGAACUUGGGAAGGUGAGCUCGGCAGCAGCUUCCUUCUCCUCCCCUGUCGUCACCUCCCUCCCGAUGGCCGCCACUUUCGCCGUCCCAAGAUUGAAGCUUGGCGGGAGACCGGCGGCCACCAGGCCAUGACUGUUGCCAUCCCCAGAGAGUCCGAGGGCGGCCUUGUGCAUCCUCAGCUCUCUGUACCAGUCGAUCCCGGUCGCCGCCGCCGGCUCUGCGGCGUCGGGAGCUAUUUCCUUGGCCGCGCAGCCGUCGUCCACGCGCACCGACCGCUUCCCGGAGCACGUGCGCAUGAGCACGCCGACCUGGACGCAGCACUUUUUGUCGCGGGGGGGACUGCGCCGUCGACGGAGCCCGCCCCGGAAGAGCGCCGUCUGGCUGUUGGCGCUGGACGCCGCCGAGCUCGCGGUGAAGCUCGCCGUCGACGCGCGCGUCGAAGACGGCUUAGCCAUUACCACGGCCUCCGCUGCUGGCCUCGCAGCGGCCGUCUCCACCAACGGCUGCUGCACCUGCACCGCUCCCGCGGGGAAGGUGACACCAAAACCUUCCUUGCGGUCGUCCCCGUCGUCGUCCAUUGCGCCUCUGAAGUAGCGCUCGGCGGAGAACACGUCAAGCUCGCCGUCAGCGUACGUGCGCCGCCGGCUCGCCAUGGCAUGCGCCGGCAACGGCCGCGGCGCCGCGCGGCCAACGUCGGCGUUCCGGCCCAUGUCAAGGUACGACGACAGGGAGCUGCCGUUCCAGCGCCUCCCGCUGAUGGCGUCGUCGAAGCUGACCACCUUGCCGCCACCAUUUCCCGAUCGCCCCAUCUCCAUGGUGCAGUGCAAGUGCAGCCAACACACACCAGUACAUACAAGGAUGAAGAAAAUGGUGUGGCCAAAGGAGAUGUUGUGAAUAGGCGCACUUAUAUAGACAUCACAGUACACAUCACCAAAAUAAAAAUGAAGAUAAAAAUUAUAUGGACACAUGAAUUUCACCAACUGUUCAUGUACGAAAACUACUACUAUUAUUAUCAUAAUAAUUCAAUUCAACGGAGAAAUAAACCUAAUUGCCAAUUUUGUCUGCAUGAUGGAAUAACUGCAACGGCAACAGGGAGGAGAUGAGGAGGCUGCAGGCCUGCAGCCUGCAGUGAAGUUUGUUCUGCUGGAGCACCGAUGGCCAUAUAUAUGUUUCUUUAAUUAAUUUAGCAACGUUUGAUGAUCCAAAAUUGAAAAUGAGACGGUAGCUGCUGCCUUUGACAUGAUCCAUCCUCCCUGACACUCAUGCUAACAACUAAAUUUGAAACUGUUGUGCAGCAUGACUCCGACAGUGACCCUGCUGCGAAGGCGACAAGGAAACCGUUGCUGUUCGUCGUCAGGGAAAAAGAAAAGGGCAACGAUGGCCGUUUCCUGUCCAUGAUCUGCCAAUGAGACACCAAAGAAAUUUCAACAACAGUGAUGCUUUUCGUCUCCAGGUAACACUUGGGAUGCAUGAUAGGAAGGGUCUUUAUCUUGCGAGAUGCUAAUUUCCCGGGGGGAAAUUAUCAAAUAUGUGAAUUUACGAACCGGAUUUUCCGAAUCAGGAGGCCAACCGCACAAGGUACUAUCUAUCUGGAACAGUGGUAGGAGCAAGACAGUCGGGUGUUUUAUGCAACAGUUGAGCUGUAGGCGUGUACCAU